GAGAUUCCAAAGACAAAAGACUUAAGUUUCAUAUAUAGCAAAUAUUAAUUCUGUUUUUGACAGCUCAAUAAAACAGAAUCCAAAGAAUUAAAGAGACAAAUCAGGAGCUACAAAAGAAAACAAAGGCACACUAAUAAAAGCCAACACCACAAAAAAGGAACAUAAAAAACAAAGAAGGUACAAAAAUAUAUGAGAAAAAAAAGAUGAUACAUUAAUAACUAUGUGCAAUUAUUAGGUGAGAUAUGAAAGCACCAUAAUAACUAAAAAUCCCAUAGUCAUCUCAACAAUUCCCAUCCAUUUCCUUCUAUCUCCUCCAUCAUUUUUCUCAUUAGCUGUAGUUGCUGCUUUUCCAUUAGAGCUCCCACUAACUGUAAAAGGAAAGGUCAUAAAUGGAAAAAUAUUACUCAAUUCGUUUCAUUUUAUAUGAAAGUGUUUGAAACAAUAUAACUUAAGCACUAGCAAACCCAAGAUUUCAAAGUCGUGAACGCUCGCCGAAAAGAGUUCCAAAAGAAGGGGGAAAGGAGUUUAACCGUAGGUGUUCACUCAAUGCUUAUCUAAUUUUUUAAAAAUAAUUUUUAUGUAAAUCUACUAAAUUUGGUAAAAGUCAAUGUGUGCUUAGCUUAGCACCCGCAAGGCUCCAUAUAGGUUCGUUAUUGAGCUUAAGAAAGAAAGAAAGAGUUUAACACAUACCAACAAUAUCGAUAAACUUGCAGUUUUCACAUGUCAUAAUUAACAUUGUCUAAAAAAAGAAUACGUCAUAACAUUUUUAUAGCUAUACAAACAUGACAUUAAGGAUAAAAUAUGAAGUUUAAAAUUAAGAAUUUUCAAAUAUAAAAAAGUAUUUUUUUAAAUAAAAAAGAGUGACAUAUAAAAUGAAACAAAUGCAGUAUCAAUGAUAAGACAAAAAGCCUAGUUUAAAUUUAAUCAAAUCUAUUAGAUUGAUUUUGUAACUUUUCAUGUUUACCUGGUGCAGAUGAAGCACUAGAACUUGCUUUUGCACUCUUUGCAAAAUCUUCGAAAACCUUAGCAUCUGGUGAAUUUGGUGGCAAGUGCAACAGCUCUGGACAUAAAUCACAACUCCAAAUGUAAGAAUACAUCUUAGUAUACAUUUUUCUUUCACUAGUAAAGCUUGUGUUUAGCAAAGUUUAUAGGUAAAUGACUAAAAGAGUCCGCUUUAGGAGACCAAAAAAUAAUUUAAUUUAUAUAUACCGACAAUAUAAAAUUAAUGAUACAGUCACACCUCUCUAUAACAGCUUUGUUUGCUCCAGAUUUUUUUAGUUGUUAUAGCUAAGCGCUGUUAUAGAGAACACAUAUUAUAGCAUAGUAUGGAAAUUGGUUCCAAAAGAAACUUGGCUUUUAUAAUGAAUAGUUGUUAUAUAACAAUGCUGUUAUAGAGAAGUCUGACGGUAUACAUAUGAGUGCGAUGUACUUACCCGGGCACAUCGAUACAUUAGCUGAAUUAGCAGGAGCAUGACAUAGAGUAGGAAGGCUUAGUGCAAGAGUAGCAUUGAUCUUAAGACCAAGGCUAGGAUCAUUUCUAUCUUUCACCAAAACACAAAGGCAUUUCUUGCUCUUGUCCAAGACUUCUUUUAGACCGGUGCAACAAUCCGGUGUGGGAGCUUUGGCGUCUCCGCUAACAUAAGGAAGACACGUGGCGAGACCGACGAGUUGGUUAGCACAUUCUUCUUUAUCUUUGUCAAUAU
RNAcentral lists this long non-coding RNA (1703 nucleotides) under Nicotiana tabacum (common tobacco). RNAcentral describes it as "long non-coding RNA (NTAB_LNC015045)". Lineage: Eukaryota; Viridiplantae; Streptophyta; Magnoliopsida; Solanales; Solanaceae. The record is from RNAcentral.